This 271-nucleotide small nuclear RNA is filed under the name Nannospalax galili (Upper Galilee mountains blind mole rat). RNAcentral's name for it is "7SK RNA (ENSNGAG00000007254.1)". It matches the Rfam family "7SK RNA", at positions 1 to 289 of the family's 331-position model. From Rfam's summary of the family: 7SK was discovered as an abundant small nuclear RNA in the mid-70s but a possible function has only recently been suggested. Two independent studies have found that 7SK RNA binds the CDK9/cyclin T complex (known as elongation factor P-TEFb). Lineage: Eukaryota; Metazoa; Chordata; Mammalia; Rodentia; Spalacidae. The record is from RNAcentral.
AGUAAUAUUCCACUGUGACAUAUGUCACCCCAGUGAUUAUUAGCAUUGAUUUGACUGAUCUGGCUGGCUAGAUUGAUGUCUCCUUCCUCCUGAAACACCACAUGUGCCCCUCCCAAAGCUGAAUGCUGGCUCAGAGAGGACAACCUUCCCUUAUAGAGGAGGACCAGUCUUCAGCUAAGAGUAUACAAGAAGCUGUGCUCCCCUACUAGAACCUCUAAAUAAGCUCUCAAGAUUAUUUUAAGUAAUUUUUUAUUCUUUGAGUACUUCCUGC